This 254-nucleotide ribosomal RNA is filed under the name uncultured bacterium. Its description in RNAcentral is "partial 16S ribosomal RNA". It matches the Rfam family "Bacterial small subunit ribosomal RNA", at positions 524 to 776 of the family's 1533-position model. The record is from RNAcentral.
UACGGGGGGAGCAAGCGUUGUUCGGAUUUACUGGGCGUAAAGGGCGCGUAGGCGGUCAGCACAAGUCAGUUGUGAAAUCUCCGGGCUUAACUCGGAAAGGUCAACUGAUACUGUGCGACUAGAGUGCAGAAGGGGCAACUGGAAUUCUCGGUGUAGCGGUGAAAUGCGCAGAUAUCAGGAGGAACACCGGUGGCGAAGGCGGAUCUCUGGGCCGUAACUGACGCUGAGGAGCGAAAGCAUGGGGAGCGAACAGG